This 253-nucleotide ribosomal RNA is filed under the name uncultured bacterium. RNAcentral's name for it is "partial 16S ribosomal RNA". It matches the Rfam family "Bacterial small subunit ribosomal RNA", at positions 524 to 776 of the family's 1533-position model. The record is from RNAcentral.
UACGUAGGGUCCGAGCGUUGUCCGGAAUUACUGGGCGUAAAGAGCUCGUAGGUGGUUUGUCGCGUUGUUCGUGAAAACUCACAGCUCAACUGUGGGCGUGCGGGCGAUACGGGCAGACUAGAGUACUGCAGGGGAGACUGGAAUUCCUGGUGUAGCGGUGGAAUGCGCAGAUAUCAGGAGGAACACCGGUGGCGAAGGCGGGUCUCUGGGCCGUAACUGACGCUGAGGAGCGAAAGCGUGGGGAGCGAACAGG